AAAAGAAAGAAAGAAAGAAAGAAAGAAAGAAAGCACGAGGGACUCAGAAAAAAGCGGCAUCAAUCAAUCAACCAACGAAUCUUUUUCCAAGGUCCUUGUUUUUCAUUUGCUUCCUU
RNAcentral lists this non-coding RNA (116 nucleotides) under Chromera velia. Lineage: Eukaryota; Chromeraceae. The record is from RNAcentral.